UGGGAUGGCUGUAUUCUAAGAUUGAAGC
This 28-nucleotide non-coding RNA is filed under the name Homo sapiens (human). Lineage: Eukaryota; Metazoa; Chordata; Mammalia; Primates; Hominidae. The record is from RNAcentral.